GCAUUCUUAUUACACAGACUAUAACUCAGGAACUGCAAAUGAAAUAGGUGCUCUGUUAGUCAGCAACUUACUGCUCUGGCCAAAGCCUGACAAGAAACAGCUUCAAGGAGGGAAGUUUUACCUCAGCUCAUGAUCCGGGGAUACAGUCCACAGGUAUAUAAUUCUAUGGUGGAAGGUGGCCAGGACCCUAGAGAUGAUAUGAAAUCUCCACCAUCUGCAGCCCUUAGAAGUAGGGCGGUAUGCAUCAAAAGAAGUGUAAAACAGUCUUGGCUCUUGAGGAGAAAGUCAAGGUAAGCUUACACAGGGUUCAGAAGACUGUUGAGACGGAAGGGAUCAAAACUAUCCAUCACUUCCAGAAAUUCUAGUGUCCCUGUGAUACUGAGUUCCUGUCUUGGAGUUUCUGAUCGCAGGCUGUCAUAAGGGAAGCAUAAGAUGGAGUGAAUCCUUUUCUCCACACGCUUGGUUACGGUUGGUGUUUUAUCACAGCAACUGAGGAACAGCCUAGAACAACUGGCAAAGAGAAGACAUAGUGGUUCACAGUAGCUGGGAGAAUUAGCUUCCCAACUUUGCAUUCAGUGACUUCUUGCUGGCAACCUGGAAUUGGUCCUAGUGGGUAGGAGUAUUAGCACCACGAGAAGUGAAGACGUGGCAGACGUUUUAAAGUGGUAAGUGAUAUUUUGCAUACCCUUCGGAGAGUCAGUUGUUAACACUUGUCUGUAAAACCCUUUUAAGAAACUAUGCCUUUCCCUGGUCAGAUGUAUAGCUGGCAAAUAAUAUUUUCCCAUUCUAUUAGGCUGCUGCUUCAGUUGAUUUACAGUUUCCUUUUCAGUACAGAAACAAAAUGGAUGUAGUGUCAAGCUGCCCUCUAAGUUUGUAUCUCUGUUUCCACAGAUGAGUGUCGCUCUCAGAACUCAGAGCUAUUUAUGUGUGCAACGGAUGGUAGUUAACACAGAAACUCACAAGAGGUCAAAGUAUAGACAAUGCGUGGAGUGCUCAGUCCCAAACACAGUACCUGUACUAUUUCCCCAACCUUCCGAUGAGAGAUCAUAUUAGAUAAUGGGGCGGGAAGAUUUUACAAAGCAAAGCUCAUGGAGGACCAGAGUGAAACUGUCUAAUGGACAUGGUGGGACCCCUGCAUUGAGACGACAUGGAAAAGGUGGAAAGGUCACCAUAUACAAUGUAAGGUGAAAGCUUUCACCAGGAACCAAAACAGCUGACAUACUGAUCUUAGACUUCCCAGAAUCCAAACUCUGAAGUAAAUUUGUUGUUUAAGGGCCUAACCCAGGAUUUAGGACUACCACGCUGAAGAUUGGGCUUCUAGUACUUGAUUCUAUCUACUGUGGAGGUGGAGAUGGCAGACAGAGAGACUGUAGGCCCUAAAAGCAUGGAUGCAAACAAUGAGAACAGCUUCUCGGAUGCUCAUGGCUCAAUGUGCUUCCUACCAACUCCUCCAGCAGUGUGAAAGACAGGUAUAUGAAAACACGACCACGCUGUCCUGUUGGUCCCAGUCUGGUCAUUACUCACUUCUGUUACAACAAGGGUGUGAGAGUUUGCAAGGCCAUCCCACAUUUUAACUGAUUUUGCUACAUGUUUCCUGUGCUUGGUCAUGUACUCUGUUAAGACUGCUUUGAAAGAACGUUACAUCUCAGGGAUGGAGUCGUAAUCCAUCAGCAGUAAUGGUUCUGCAGUAGAGAACUUGUAAUGUCCUUGGAGAGGGUUCAGUUCGCUUCUCAGAACCCACCUCAAAACUUCUUGUAACUCUGACUCCAAGGGACCCAAAACCCUUUCCUAUGUUCCAUAGGUUCUUGCACCUCAUACGUAUUUACACAAAUACAUAAUUAAAAUAAAAGAAAUUAAAAAAA
Molecule: non-coding RNA, 1862 nt
Organism: Rattus norvegicus (Norway rat)
Lineage: Eukaryota; Metazoa; Chordata; Mammalia; Rodentia; Muridae
Source: RefSeq, a predicted model, not a curated record